GAUUUGCGUGAGGGAUGGAAGUGGAGCUCUCCCGAUUUUUCAUCUGGAAGCGGGAACGUACAGCCCGACCCUUG
RNAcentral lists this small RNA (74 nucleotides) under Flavobacterium sp. 1. RNAcentral describes it as "Flavo-1 RNA". The record is from RNAcentral. Lineage: Bacteria; Pseudomonadati; Bacteroidota; Flavobacteriia; Flavobacteriales; Flavobacteriaceae.